This 1516-nucleotide ribosomal RNA is filed under the name Staphylococcus sp. AA1. RNAcentral's name for it is "bacterial LSU rRNA". It matches the Rfam family "Bacterial large subunit ribosomal RNA", at positions 1 to 1526 of the family's 2925-position model. The record is from RNAcentral. Lineage: Bacteria; Bacillati; Bacillota; Bacilli; Caryophanales; Staphylococcaceae.
GAUUAAGUUAUUAAGGGCGCACGGUGGAUGCCUGGCACUAGAAGCCGAUGAAGGACGUUACUAACGACGAUAUGCUUUGGGGAGCUGUAAGUAAGCUUUGAUCCAGAGAUUUCCCGAAUGGGGAAACCCAGCAUGAGUUAUGUCAUGUUAUCGAUAUGUGAAUACAUAGCAUAUCAGAAGGCACACCCGAGAACUGAAACAUCUUAGUACCCGGAGGAAGAGAAAGAAAAUUCGAUUCCCUUAGUAGCGGCGAGCGAAACGGGAAGAGCCCAAACCAACAAGCUUGCUUGUUGGGGUUGUAGGACACUCUAUACGGAGUUACAAAGGACGACAUUAGACGAAUCAUCUGGAAAGAUGAAUCAAAGAAGGUAAUAAUCCUGUAGUCGAAAAUGUUCCGUCUCUCUUGAGUGGAUCCUGAGUACGACGGAGCACGUGAAAUUCCGUCGGAAUCUGGGAGGACCAUCUCCUAAGGCUAAAUACUCUCUAGUGACCGAUAGUACCACCGUACCGUGAGGGAAAGGUGAAAAGCACCCCGGAAGGGGAGUGAAAUAGAACCUGAAGUGUGCUUACAAGUAGUCAGAGCCCGUUAAUGGGUGAUGGCGUGCCUUUUGUAGAAUGAACCGGCGAGUUACGAUUUGAUGCAAGGUUAAGCAGUAAAUGUGGAGCCGUGCGAAAGCGAGUCUGAAUAGGGCGUUUAGUAUUUGGUCGUAGACCCGAAACCAGGUGAUCUACCCUUGGUCAGGUUAAGUUCAGGUAACACUGAAUGGAGGACCGAACCGACUUACGUUGAAAAGUGAGCGGAUGAACUGCAGGGUAGCGGAAAUUCCAAUCGAACCUGGAGAUAGCUGGUUCUCUCCGAAAUAGCUUUAGGGCUAGCCUCAAGUGAUGAUUAUUGGAGUAGAGCACUGUUUGGACGAGGGGCCCCUCUCGGGUUACCGAAUUCAGACAAACUCCGAAUGCCAAUUAAUUUAACUGGGAGUCAGAACAUGGGUGAUAAGGUCCGUGUUCGAAAGGGAAACAGCCAGACCACCAGCUAAGGUCCAAAAUAUAUGUUAAGUGGAAAAGGAUGUGGCGUUGCCCAGACAACUAGGAUGUUGGCUUAGAAGCAGCCAUCAUUUAAAGAGUGCGUAAUAGCUCACUAGUCGAGUGACACUGCGCCGAAAAUGUACCGGGGCUAAACAUAUUACCGAAGCUGUGGAUUGUCCUUUGGACAAUGGUAGGAGAGCGUUCUAAGGGCGUUGAAGCAUGAUCGUAAGGACAUGUGGAGCGCUUAGAAGUGAGAAUGCCGGUGUGAGUAGCGAAAGACGGGUGAGAAUCCCGUCCACCGAUUGACUAAGGUUUCCAGAGGAAGGCUCGUCCGCUCUGGGUUAGUCGGGUCCUAAGCUGAGGCCGACAGGCGUAGGCGAUGGAUAACAGGUUGAUAUUCCUGUACCACCUAUAAUCGUUUUAAUCGAUGGGGGGACGCAGUAGGAUAGGCGAAGCGUGCGAUUGGAUUGCACGUCUAAGCAGUAAGGCU